This 440-nucleotide ribosomal RNA is filed under the name uncultured bacterium. Its description in RNAcentral is "partial 16S ribosomal RNA". It matches the Rfam family "Bacterial small subunit ribosomal RNA", at positions 338 to 795 of the family's 1533-position model. The record is from RNAcentral.
CCUACGGGGGGCAGCAGUAGGGAAUAUUGCUCAAUGGGGGAAACCCUGAAGCAGCAACGCCGCGUGGAGGAUGAAGGCUUUCGGAUUGUAAACUCCUUUUGUUAGAGAAGAUAAUGACGGUAUCUAACGAAUAAGCACCGGCUAACUCCGUGCCAGCAGCCGCGGUAAUACGGAGGGUCCAAGCGUUACGCGGAAUCACUGGGCUUAAAGAGCGGGUAGGCGGGAUAGCAAGUCAGAUGUGAAAGCCUAUGGCUAAACCAUAGAACUGCAUUUGAAACUGUUAUUCUAGAGUAUGGGAGAGGUAGGUGGAAUGUUUGGUGUAGGGGUAAAAUCCGUAGAGAUCAAGAGGAAUACUCAUUGCGAAGGCAGCCUGCUAGAACGUAACUGACGCUGAUGCGCGAAAGCGUGGGGAGCAAACAGGAUUAGAUACCCCUGUAGUC